This 437-nucleotide ribosomal RNA is filed under the name uncultured bacterium. Its description in RNAcentral is "partial 16S ribosomal RNA". It matches the Rfam family "Bacterial small subunit ribosomal RNA", at positions 339 to 795 of the family's 1533-position model. The record is from RNAcentral.
CUACGGGUGGCAGCAGUGGGGAAUAUUGCACAAUGGAGGAAACUCUGAUGCAGCAACGCCGCGUGGAGGAUGACACUUUUCGGAGCGUAAACUCCUUUUAUAUAGGAAGAAGAUGACGGUACUAUAUGAAUAAGCGCCGGCUAACUCCGUGCCAGCAGCCGCGGUAAUACGGAGGGCGCAAGCGUUACUCGGAAUCACUGGGCGUAAAGAGCGUGUAGGCGGAUUAAAAAGUCAGAAGUGAAAUCCUAUAGCUUAACUAUAGAACUGCUUCUGAAACUCUUAAUCUAGAAUAUGGGAGAGGUAGAUGGAAUUUCUGGUGUAGGGGUAAAAUCCGUAGAGAUCAGAAGGAAUACCGAUUGCGAAGGCGAUCUACUAGAACAUUAUUGACGCUGAGACGCGAAAGCGUGGGGAGCAAACAGGAUUAUACCCCCGUAGUC